Molecule: unclassified non-coding RNA, 865 nt
Filed under: Hevea brasiliensis (rubber tree)
Lineage: Eukaryota; Viridiplantae; Streptophyta; Magnoliopsida; Malpighiales; Euphorbiaceae
Source: RNAcentral
CCACAUCACAAACACCAUAACAGAGCUCAAUAUAUAAACAGGUGAAGCCAAUCCCGUGGGUUCUCCACCUCGAGGUGCUACAAGAUUGGAAUACAUGGCUAGAAUCUGCUUCGACGCAGACCAAUUUUUAGCCACGAUCAUUGACAAAGACCGGAAGUUGCCCACGGCUCGUUCCUUAUUAGCCCCUGCAGUAUUCCCUCUUCUCCCAAAAGACCACGUUCUCUCGGCACCCUUACAAUGAUUCUCUUUAUCAUCAAUUGUCAUCGCAGUUAGCAUGGAACUCAAAGCUUUUCUCGCUCGCUUCACUUGACCAUCACCUAUCGGGUUCUGCUUCAAAGCAGAGACCGCAAUUUCAGCUAAUCUUUUACACUGACGCACGGAAUCAAUCCCACUAGACACUGCAUUACAGAUAUCGAGAGCUUUAACAGCUCGUUCCAUGAGCUCAGGAAUCAAUCGAUCCAACGGUGGCUUGCAGAUUUGUGAAGGGUCGCGACCCAUGAUAAGAACAGUGUUGAACUCAGCCUCGCAGCACAAGAACACAUCCACAAGUUUCCUCAACCAGGAAAUAGACAUCAGAGGUUCACUGGAGAUGAGCUCCUCCGACGGAGACAAUAAACCAGCGAACCAAUCAGCCACGUGCUUCUGAAAAAGCUCAAGGUCCUCGAGUUCCUGCUCAUGGUUGCCGUCCAUGGAGAUCACCUGGUUCCGGCGGAUGCUGAUUCGCCUAAGAAACGAUGACUGGUACUCCGUUGCAGGCAUUUUGAUUUUGAACUCAAUAAUAAGAAGUCAGAAACUGAGAGAAAGAAAGGAAGAAGAAAGAUAAAAUAGAGAGAGAGGAGACAAAGAAAAAAAAACAAACACAGAG